This 254-nucleotide ribosomal RNA is filed under the name uncultured bacterium. RNAcentral describes it as "partial 16S ribosomal RNA". It matches the Rfam family "Bacterial small subunit ribosomal RNA", at positions 524 to 776 of the family's 1533-position model. The record is from RNAcentral.
UACAGAGGGUGCAAGCGUUAAUCGGAAUUACUGGGCGUAAAGGGCGCGUAGGUGGCUAAGUAAGUUGGAUGUGAAAUACCUGGGCUUAACCUGGGAACUGCAUCCAAAACUGCUUGGCUAGAGUAAGGUAGAGGGAAGUGGAAUUUCCGGUGUAGCGGUGAAAUGCGUAGAUAUCGGAAGGAACACCAGUGGCGAAGGCGGCUUCCUGGACCUAUUACUGACACUGAGGCGCGAAAGCGUGGGGAGCAAACAGG